AUUAAUGAAAAUACAAUUCGACAAAAAGAAAAAGGAAGACUUAUUAUUUUUAUUUUCACGAAAAUGAUAGUGAGAACUUAUAGAGAUAAUUUUUUAAUUUUUUAUAAAUUUAAUUGAGAUAAUUAAAUACUUGCCUCUAGAAGGUACUUUGUACAUCUUUUGUGUAUAGACAAAAUAUGCCUAUGAUCAUGUUUGAUCUUAAGAAUUUUCAUGGCUCUAGAAAUACAAG
Molecule: long non-coding RNA, 229 nt
Filed under: Elaeis guineensis (African oil palm)
Lineage: Eukaryota; Viridiplantae; Streptophyta; Magnoliopsida; Arecales; Arecaceae
Description: long non-coding RNA (EGUI_LNC020617)
Source: RNAcentral